AUGGGGCGCAUUGGCUCUUCCCUACUACCCACGGUCUCAGAACUUAUAGAUGACUACACAGGCAACUGGAAUGUGGACAUCAUUCAAGCAAAUUUCUUGCAACCGGAUGUUGAAGCUAUUCUCAAUAUACCCCUAAACAUCAAUGGUGGUCAAGACUUUUUGGCAUGGGCCCUAGAGAAAUCUGGCAACUACUCUGUAAAAUCCGUGUAUUGCUCUCUUGCGACUCGGAACGAGCAUCACGCUCUAGAGGAAGGGACAAUUACAGAAACUUCAUCAGCUAACAAACAGAUGUGGAAUGCCCUAUGGAAAUUACAUGUAGUUCCAAAAGUUCGUGUAUUCGGUGGAGAGUACUUCGGGGAAUACUACCAGAUUCGGUCACUUUGCAAUAUCGACACAUCAAACCACUUGGCCGGUGUGGUAUUGGCAAAGCAAUGGAUGAAAAGUUGCUUCAUGCACUAG
This 459-nucleotide ribosomal RNA is filed under the name Triticum aestivum (bread wheat). RNAcentral describes it as "partial small subunit ribosomal RNA". The record is from RNAcentral. Lineage: Eukaryota; Viridiplantae; Streptophyta; Magnoliopsida; Poales; Poaceae.